RNAcentral lists this unclassified non-coding RNA (718 nucleotides) under Hevea brasiliensis (rubber tree). The record is from RNAcentral. Lineage: Eukaryota; Viridiplantae; Streptophyta; Magnoliopsida; Malpighiales; Euphorbiaceae.
CGCCCCCACCCCCGCAACCCCUUCUCUCUCUCUCUCUGGAACACAAAAUCGAGAAAAGGACCAAAAGGCGAAAACUCUCUUCGGCUCUCGGGGGAGGAAAGAAAAAACAAAGGGGAAUUUAUCACUCUAAUGUCUCUGCGGAAAUCUAUUCUCUCUCGAAGGUUCUCCAAGUCGUUCAAGUCUGUUAACAAUCAUAAAAACGACGGUGCUGGAGGAGUGGUGGUGCCCACCGGUCUCGGUGGCGAUGUAUCCGGGGAGUUGUGGGCCGAGUCGGACCCUGUCGAUGGCUGGGCGAGCAUGUUGCCUGAAUUGCUUCGGGAGAUAAUAAAACGAGUGGAGGAGAGCGAUGAUCGGUGGCCUCAGCGACAAAACGUCGUUGCUUGUGCUUGUGUCUGUAAAAAAUGGAGAGAGAUUACGAAGGAGAUCGUUCGGUCUCCACGCAACAUAGGCAGAAUCACUUUUCCUUCUUGCCUUAAACAGCCAGGUCCGCGUGACUUACCUCAUCAAUGUCUUAUAAAACGGAAUAAGAAGACUUCAACGUUUUAUCUCUCUCUUGCUCUUACUCCAUCAUUAAUGGACAAGGGAAAGUUUCUUCUAGCAGCACGGAGGUUUAGACAUGGUGCUCACAUAGAAUAUAUCAUCUCACUUGAUGCAGAAGAUCUAUCCCCCCAAGGAAGUAAUGCUUAUGUUGGAAAGUUAAGUUCGGACUUUCUUGGCA